RNAcentral lists this ribosomal RNA (501 nucleotides) under uncultured bacterium. RNAcentral's name for it is "partial 16S ribosomal RNA". It matches the Rfam family "Bacterial small subunit ribosomal RNA", at positions 30 to 523 of the family's 1533-position model. The record is from RNAcentral.
AUUGAACGCUGGCGGCAGGCUUAACACAUGCAAGUCGAGCGGAGAUGAGGUGCUUGCACCUUAUCUUAGCGGCGGACGGGUGAGUAAUGCUUAGGAAUCUGCCUAUUAGUGGGGGACAACAUUCCGAAAGGAAUGCUAAUACCGCAUACGUCCUACGGGAGAAAGCAGGGGAUCUUCGGACCUUGCGCUAAUAGAUGAGCCUAAGUCGGAUUAGCUAGUUGGUGGGGUAAAGGCCUACCAAGGCGACGAUCUGUAGCGGGUCUGAGAGGAUGAUCGGCCACACGGGGACUGAGACACGGCCCUGACUCCUACGGGAGGCAGCAGUGGAGAAUAUUGGACAAUGGGGGGAACCCUGAUCCAGCCAUGCCGCGUGUGUGAAGAAGGCCUUAUGGUUGUAAAGCACUUUAAGCGAGGAGGAGGCUACUGAGACUAAUACUCUUGGAUAGUGGACGUUACUCGCAGAAUAAGCACCGGCUAACUCUGUGCCAGCCGCCGCAGUAA